This is a long non-coding RNA of Carassius auratus (goldfish), 1225 nucleotides long. RefSeq lists it as uncharacterized. The record is from RefSeq and is a predicted model, not a curated record. The transcript is spliced from 2 exons. NCBI's taxonomy places the organism in Eukaryota, Metazoa, Chordata, Actinopteri, Cypriniformes, Cyprinidae.
CAUAUAGGCCCAGUUUCCCGUUAAUGGCUUAAAAUAAACCAGGACUAGGCUAAUUCUACUUAAAUUAAUCCACACUAAACAACUGACUUUCUGAGAUGUUGCUUAAAUUUGGAUUAACUAGUUCUAGACUACAGAGUCUCAGAUUAAGGUAAUCAAGGACAAGUGAGAUCAUCUUUUGGAAACCCGAUUAGAUUAAUGGCAUGCACAUGUGGCUAAGGAGAGGUUGCUAUAAAAACCUGGUAUGGACUACUUGUAAUUCAUUAGUCUUAAGGAGUGUGUGGAACAGGAGUCAUUACACUUAACCAAAAAAUGGAUCAAGGCAGAAGAAAACGCUCAAAAAACUUCAGUGAAUUUGAGAAGACCCUUUUUAAACAAAUUGUAUCAAAUUAUCCUGUAAUUGAAAACAAACAGCAUGAUUCAGGUACAGAAAACAAGAAGAAGAAGGCAUGGAUUUCCAUAUUGAAUCAAUUCAACUCAAAUGAAAAAGUAACCAAACGGACACUCCAACAAGUUCAGGUCCUGUGGAAAAACAUAAAAAUAAACCUGAAAAAAACAACUGCUGCUACGCGUCAAGAGCGUUUCAAGACAGGCGGGGGACUCCCAGUUCCACCAGACACAGAGGAGUUGGGGGACUUGUUGGCUGGGAUUAUUGAAAGUCAGCAACCCCUGGAAGGUAUUCCAGAUGAUGACCAUUUGGCCAUUCAGGUGAGGAAUCUUUCAAAGACUCAUUUAACACGUCUCAUUUACAGUAACGUGCUAUCCCAUCCAACAUAAUUAAAUGCAAGUCAUGUCUUGUAACAAAAAUUAUGUAAUGACCUUUAUUGUUGAAGUCAAAUGUAAUGCUAUUUAUUUAUUUUUUUCAUACAAAGAUGACCUGAUCUUGACACAGGACUUGGGGGGCGCAGGGAACAGUCAAGAUGCUCAAAUGAAUCCAGCAGCAGCCAGCACCAACAUGCAGCAGCAUCCAGUCUCCUGCAGUAGCAGUAGUCAGCAUCCAGCAGUCUCUAAUCCAGGCAGCAGGUCAAGAGGGAAAAGGAUGACCAUUCAUGAGAAACUUGCCAUAGAGUUCCAUGAACGUAAAUUACAAUAUUUAAAAGAAGAACAUGAAGUCAAAAUGAAAAUCCUUCAUCUUGAGUUGUCUAUGAAAGAGAGAGACAUGAAGCAGCAGCAGUGUCAACUGACUUUGGAACAAAAUCUCAGUUAAAUAAAUAAUUUCAUGAAUUUU